GGGGUUUGAACCCAUGACCUCCGGCUCCCAAGCCCGGACUCUUUCCACUGAGCCACACUGCUUCUCCACAUUACUAUCACGGUUCAGAAGGGAACUGUAAUGAUAGCCAGCGGAUCCCAUAGCCGCUAGCUAAGGGCCGGGCGCCGUACUGAGCGCCGGUGUAGAGCCCGGGUAACAGUGAUAAACGAGGGUAUUUGGUGAGCGCCGGAGCGGAUCCAGGUAUGACGACGGUAUUUGGCCACUGCUCGUGACGGAUGAAGAGAAACGGCUGCUCGGGCAGGAGGGGGGUCACCCUGCCUCACCAGCUGCCCCUCACCAAGGAGCGGUCGCUGAAGAAGGGCCGCGGGAAAAUCCGGAACAGGUAGUCGGCCCAGGACAGCCGGAGGCGCAAGAAAGAAUACGUCGACGGGCUGGAGAGCAGGGUGGCCACCUGCUCCGUCCAGAACCAGGAGUUGCAGAAGAAGCUGCGGGAGCUGGAGAAGCACGACGUGUGCGGGAGGGGGCCGGGGCAGAGGCGGGGCCGGGCAGCCGGGUCGGCAGGGGACCCCGGCGGCCCUCUCCCUCUUCCCCAGCUCCCUGGUGGCUCAGCCGCAGCAGCUCCAGGCCCCGGUGACGCAGAUGUCCCACAAGGCCGCUCAGACCAGCACCUGUGUCCUGGUAGGCCCCUGCGCGGGCCCCGGCCCCCCGGCACUGUGCAUGGGGCGAGGACCACUGCCCCCAGGGACGUGGUUUCGUGUGGGUGGGUGGGUGGAGAACUUUCUGGAGGGGCCGGGGUGGCGUGGGGUGGCUCGUAAUAUCCCGGCUAGGCUACUGUGUCAGCCUUCUCUCUGACGUCCCUU
Molecule: long non-coding RNA, 839 nt
Organism: Ornithorhynchus anatinus (platypus)
Lineage: Eukaryota; Metazoa; Chordata; Mammalia; Monotremata; Ornithorhynchidae
Exons: 4
Source: RefSeq, a predicted model, not a curated record